UGCAGUCGGCGAAUGGAUUAAGACUUGCUUUUAUGAAGUUAGCGGCGGACGGGUGAGUAACACGUGGGUGACCUGCCCAUAAGACUGGGAUAACUCCGGGAAACCGGGGCUAAUACCGGAUAACAUUUUGAACCGGAUGGGUCGAAAUUGAAAGGCGGCUUCGGCUGUCACUUAUGGAUGGACCCGGGUCGCAUUAGCUAGUUGGUGAGGUAACGGCUCACCAAGGCAACGAUGCGUAGCCGACCUGAGAGGGUGAUCGGCCACACUGGGACUGAGACACGGCCCAGACUCCUACGGGAGGCAGCAGUAGGGAAUCUUCCGCAAUGGACGAAAGUCUGACUGAGCAACGCCGCGUGAGUGAUGAAGGCUUUCGGGUCGUAAAACUCUGUGUGUUAGGGAAGAACACGUGCUAGUUGAAUAAGCUGGCACCUUGACGGCCCCCUACACCAGAAAGCCACGGCUAACUACGUGCCAGCAGCCGCGGUAAU
Molecule: ribosomal RNA, 488 nt
Filed under: Bacillus cereus
Lineage: Bacteria; Bacillati; Bacillota; Bacilli; Caryophanales; Bacillaceae
Description: bacterial SSU rRNA
Rfam family: Bacterial small subunit ribosomal RNA
Source: RNAcentral